CAAGGUCUAAAUGAAACCGUGGCCAUAGAUAAUGUUUGUUUCUUGCCUUGUGACUGUCCUGACAGGGGGUUGUCCAGUCGGGGAGUAGAUGAAGCUUAGCAUUCACAGGCCUUGGGAGCCAUGGAUGGAGAGACUCCAGCUGUCUGCCAACCAGAACCUGGCAGAUCUUUGGCAAGGUGGUUGACAACUCUUACCCGGAGACAAUCAGGAAGUCUUGGGGAGAAGAGGCAUGAAGGUUGGAACCCAUGGAUGAUCAUGGCAGACGGGUGAUCAUAGGAAAAAUCAACUUGACCUCUGAAAGCCCUACUUGAGUGUGGUACGAAACCGGUAUCGAGGGAGAGCCUGAGACCGAUGAUGAUUUCCUGAGGUGACCUUGUCUUCCUCAGCUUACCUGAUUAAGCGCAGAGCUCGAGUGAGCCUUGAAUUCGAAUCUCUCCAUCGCCACCUGUUACCUAUGGCCCUGGGGCCACAUGUGUGCUGCUCUUUGACUGCCAUCUUUCGCAUUUGUAAAGUAUCGAAGCAGAAGAAUCUCAGUCACUAUGACCAGCAAUUCCACCUCCUGAUGUAUUACGUUAGAGAGAGCGGCACCCUGUACAUCACAGCUUAUGACACUGGAUAACUGGAAACAACCUGAACGUCUGUCAGCAGAGGAAUUCAUGAACACAGUUUAUUCCCACAAGGAAUACUAUAUAGCAGUUAAAAUUAAUGACGUAGCUCUCCCAGUUGUUCAUUCAUUGACUAUAUCCUCCGUUCUUCCACCACUGGCCUCCUUCUGUGGGGAUUUUUUUUUUUAUUUGUGGUUCCCUCUCUCUGGAACAUUCUUUUCUCCAGAUACCCUUAUGCAUCAUUCCUGUGCUUUACCUGGUUUUCUGCUCUCAUGUUACCUCCUUGGGAAGACCUUGUGUGAACACGCUAUGAAACAUCACACCUCCCCGACCUGGAUCAUCCUUUGAGCUCCUAUAUUUGCACCGGGGGCUUCUCUUUGCCCUACAAAAAUAGAUUCUGUUUCUGGGAGGGCAUCUGUCACUCAGGGGACAGUGGGUAAGUAUUUGUUGAAGCAAUACAUAGAUAUUUGUGUACAUUUCGAUGUUUACGGGCCCCUUCAGGGGAUUUAAGUGCUCCCUCACAUUCAUGUUUUCCUGUGGAAACAGACUGGGCGGAUCUUCCUUCCUACUGCGAACCAUCUCCCAGAACCCUGGAUGAGCAGAAGCAUGAGGGGCAAGAGGUAGCCUGUGACCCUCCAGCCUCCUUACUCCCUUGCAGCUUGCUUUCCUGGGACCUUCCAUGAGGUGUUCUGCACAAGGACAAGGGACCCAUCCAGGAAUAAGACUGUGCCCAGUGGGGGAGAGCUGGCUGUGUCCUCUGAGGACACGCAUGGAAGCAUGAGCAAGACAAAGAACCUGUGCUCAGAUCCCAGUGAACUCGUCCGCUUCUCCUUGAACUUUUUGCAAUAUCAUCUAUGCUGGAAAUGAUCAUUUAAAGCCACAGUCUAGCAUAAUGUUUACAUCCCAAGGGUUGGAACUGGAGUCAUUAAGUCUUUCAAACAACAAGGUAAUGUUCAACGACUGCUUUUCUAGGAGGGGGCGUCAUUUAGCACACUGCAGGGUGCUGAUGCAAGCUUGCAUCCUGGGAACCUGAAAGCCUUGGUACCUCUCCUUUGACCUAGGGUUCACCUUGUCUUCUCGGGAGUAGCGUGGGAGUGUGAUCUCCUCAUUUUCUUAAGUUACAUAGCUAAAUUUUCUUUAACGUGUGUCAGUGGGAAGAAUACAGGCUCUGGGAUAAGGUAGACCCAGGUAUGUGUUGUAGCCAUAUUACUUCCUAGCCGUGUGACCUUGAACAAGUUGUUUCCUUUCUCUUGAUCUUCUUUCCCUUUCUUCACCUAAGUGAUGGAGUUAUCAAACUUCUCUUACCUCUGGGUUUUGGGGCUUGAUACAUUGAAAUAGUAGAUGUAAGGCAUCGCGCCGGUCCAACCUGGACAGGCAAAAAGCGUGCUUUCUGGUAUAGCUUGCAUCCUACCCCUCUCUGUGGACAUAUUAAUUCUCCUUCGCACAACUCACAGGUGUUUACAUUGAAAUGAACAUUCUCUUCCACAAGCCCAGAGCUGUGAGGAUUUUGUGUUUCUCCAGUUGGUUGAGUGAGGUAGAGGGCAAAGAAAAGUAAGUGAUUUUAAUAACCGGUAGCACUCAUGUCUUCAUGGCAAUCUUCUCGUAACCAGAUAACUUCCUUCUAGCUGCAUGUGUGAGCUAAAUUUACCUAGUCAGUGAAGAAGUAAGAACGAAAUGAAAUGGGAAGAAAGCCUGCCUCUAGAUAUUGAAUAUCCUUCCCUGGGAGAGACUUAAACAAAAAUUAAAAAUGUAAAGUCUUCAUUUUGAGGGAUUUCACCACAGCUGAUAUUCAGAAUCAUACUGAUAGACCUCCAUUAAACAUCAACCAGUCUAGAAAGCCCUUAUCCAACAUGAUUGCCUAAUAACUAAAUGAAAGAAACCAGAUGAAGAUCACUUCAUUUUGAUGAAGAUACCCACGCUAAUUAAAGAUGAGUUUGAAGCAAAGAGGAGUGAGUCUUAACCCCUUUCCCCAUUUUUCAGAGCCUCUGUGAAUGCCACGAAUGAAGAGGUUUUAACAACAUAUUGGUUUUUUUUAAACAGUCUCGUACUUGGAUAUAGCUGUUCUUGGAAAUAGCCGUAGCUUGGUAAACAGGUUCGUUCACUUGUUUAAUGCCCCGAUCUGUACUCCUGGUUACUGCCUUCUCUUGAACUUCUUUCAGCUUGCUCUACUCCGUUGUCAUCCUUAUAUAUGCAGAAUGUCCUCCUCAUUCAGCCAAUUCAUGUUGAAAUUGAAACUUUUCAAGAUAGUUUUGUUUAAUCAUCAUUCCUGCACAUACCCUCUUCUAACCGUUAUGUAAUCUUGGGCUAGAACAGUGAUUCUCUAGCAAAAUAGAGAAUCACUCCUGCAUCAUUCCUGCACGUACCCUCUUC
Non-coding RNA from Leptonychotes weddellii (Weddell seal), 2975 nucleotides. The record is from RefSeq and is a predicted model, not a curated record. NCBI's taxonomy places the organism in Eukaryota, Metazoa, Chordata, Mammalia, Carnivora, Phocidae.